CCUACGCUUCUCGUUCCAUUUUUAUUUCACUAUCUGUAACUAAGACAAAUAAACAGUAUUUGGCACACAAGUCACUAUUAAAGUGGUUUGUGAGACUCCACAUCUGAUAACAGUAUAACACACUGCUUAUUUAUGUAAAAUUGUCAUCAAUAAAUGUGUUCAAAACAGAAGCUACACUGGCUUUAAAAGUUUUUGUUAACUCUGACUACCUGUCUGCUCUUACCUGUUUCUUUUGCUCUCUGCUGUCUUCAUCCUCCAUCCAACUCUACAUUGUAUUGUUAGGGAUGACAUGAUGAAACUGAAGGGUGUCUGGGCACCGAAAAAAGAAAAGAAGAGAGAUUGGAUUAGGCUGCAGCUGGCGUGCCAUUCUCUCACUUCAGGAUGAGAUGCUGUGUCUUCUUACGUUAAUCUUGUAAAACAGGAUGUAGGCUGAGUGCUGCUGUUCCUCACAAGCUGCAGAUCCAGUUGUGUGCAGCACCUGUGCGUCAUUAUAGGUGGGCCAAGGAUCUGAUGUAGAGUGUGGACUCUCCUCGGGACGGACAGAAUUACAGAUGCAGCAGCUGCUUCCGAUGUAUGGAAACCUGACACACAAACAAAAGUUUACAGUAUCAGUGUAAAAUAAUUCAUUUUGUCCAGGUUGAGAAGGUGAGAUUUGGUCCUUGUGCACCACGUGUACUCACCUGAAGCCGUCUGUAGUCUGAAUUUUAUUUUCCAUUAUUUAUCCACCGCCCAAAUGUUUCACUGCGCUACUGCAAAAAGAUAAAAACACAAACACACAAUUAGACACUGAGCACUGGAUGUGCAUGCAUGCAUGAGCUUUGAAGUUUAAACUUUUUUUUAUCAUCAACAAUUUUUAUUUAUUUCAUUUUAAACUUCAAUAACAGAGCUUAAGGAUAACUACAUAAAUAAAUAGUUUAAAAAACAAACAAACAAAAACAAAACACAACAACAAAAAAAACAAAACAAAGGGAAGUUAUCCUAUUCUUUCUUCGCACACCAAUUCCCACACCACCACUCUGUCAUUACUCCUCUGUUCUUCAAGUUACAGAAAGCCAGCUUGUAAAGGGGGACCAAAUACAAUCAUAUUGAUGCAAUUUGUCUAAUAAACCAUAAGUCACUUUUUCGUAAGACGCCAACUUAGCCAUUGUCUUUAGCCACUCUUCAUAGGGAGGGGGGGUUCUUUUUCCGCCAAUGUCUUAGCAGGACCCGUUUGGCCGUAGUAAGAGCCAAAAUAAUCCAUCUUUUUGUAUAACUGGAAAAAUCUACAGGGAGUGCAGAAUUAUUAGGCAAGUUGUAUUUCUGAGGAAUAAUUUUAUUAUUGAACAACAACCAUGUUCUCAAUGAACCCAAAAAACUCAUUAAUAUCAAAGCUGAAUGUUUUUGGAAGUAGUUUUUGUUUUUAGUUUGAGCUAUUUUAGGGGGAUAUCUGUGUGUGCAGGUGACUAUUACUGUGCAUAAUUAUUAGGCAACUUAACAAAAAACAAAUAUAUACCCAUUUCAAUUAUUUAUUUUUACCAGUGAAACCAAUAUAACAUCUCCACAUUCACAAAUAUACAUUUCUGACAUUCAAAAACAAAACAACAACAAAUCAGCGAC
Molecule: long non-coding RNA, 1596 nt
Organism: Astatotilapia calliptera (eastern happy)
Lineage: Eukaryota; Metazoa; Chordata; Actinopteri; Cichliformes; Cichlidae
Source: Ensembl